CUGCAGCCCACCGCGAGUGGGCCCUGGGAGGCGCUGUUCUCAGAGGUGGGCCGCGGGGUGACCCUCUACCGCACCCCCGCCGUGGUGGGCCUGGCCCGCCGGGGCAUCCCUGCCCACCUCCGCCCCCAUAUAUGGGCCAUAUACUCAGGGGCGGCGAACGAGCGGGCCUCCCAACCUAGCGACUACUACGCGGCGGCGGUGGCGGGGGCGGCGGCGGGAGCGGUGGGCGCCGCCGCCGAGGAGAUCGAGCGAGACCUCCACCGCUCCCUCCCCGAGCACCCCGCCUUCUGCUCCCCGGUGGGCAUAGGCGCCCUCAGGCGCGUCCUUAGCGCCUACGCCUGGCGCAACCCCGCCAUCGGUUACUGCCAGGCUAUGAACAUCGUGGCGUCCGUAU
Molecule: long non-coding RNA, 394 nt
Organism: Hyalella azteca
Lineage: Eukaryota; Metazoa; Arthropoda; Malacostraca; Amphipoda; Hyalellidae
Exons: 3
Source: RefSeq, a predicted model, not a curated record